UGAGAUUGUAACUAAACCGACUCAAAGAACGAAUACCUAUGACUGAACUAAUCACUUGAUUGCUAAACCGAGGAUGUUGACUGUGUUGAAAGACUAGGUCAUCGCCCAUACAACUUGGUUUUAACACUACUCUGCUAUCAGAAUAAGGAGAUUGGUAUUAAACCGAAACCCUAACCUGGACUGCUAACGGCUUCUUCUCUUGUUAGAGGAAGCCCUGGUUCAAAGUCUUAUUUAUGUUACACGUAGAAACUCUUCUUGUUCAAUCCUUUAAUCCGCUCUCAGGAACGACGAGAGAGUAACUAAGCCGAAAAGGUGGAGCGAGAACUGCCGGCUCGGUUCAUCGAUGACAG
Molecule: unclassified non-coding RNA, 350 nt
Filed under: Hevea brasiliensis (rubber tree)
Lineage: Eukaryota; Viridiplantae; Streptophyta; Magnoliopsida; Malpighiales; Euphorbiaceae
Source: RNAcentral